CUUUCAGAAUCAGAACAAUGCAGUGCAAAGGACAAGCAGACGAUCUGUGCAUAGGCCUUCAAUAAGACCCCAGAGAGCCGCUGCAACUAAUGCUAGGAACUAUAUAUCAGCGGUAGCAAGUGCAUUGGGUGCACCUCAAGUUCAAUCUGCAAGAAGCUCAGUCGGCAUCCCAGAGGAGGAGACAGC
Long non-coding RNA from Lineus longissimus, 186 nucleotides. RefSeq lists it as uncharacterized. The record is from RefSeq and is a predicted model, not a curated record. Lineage: Eukaryota; Metazoa; Nemertea; Pilidiophora; Heteronemertea; Lineidae. The transcript is spliced from 3 exons.